UCCUUGGUGGUCCAGUGGUUAGAAAACUCUGUGUUUCCACUGCAGGGGGCCCGGGUUCAAUCCCUGGUCGGGGAA
Molecule: transfer RNA, 75 nt
Filed under: Ovis aries (sheep)
Lineage: Eukaryota; Metazoa; Chordata; Mammalia; Artiodactyla; Bovidae
Rfam family: tRNA
About the family: Transfer RNA (tRNA) molecules are approximately 80 nucleotides in length. Their secondary structure includes four short double-helical elements and three loops (D, anti-codon, and T loops). Further hydrogen bonds mediate the characteristic L-shaped molecular structure. tRNAs have two regions of fundamental functional importance: the anti-codon, which is responsible for specific mRNA codon recognition, and the 3' end, to which the tRNAs corresponding amino acid is attached (by aminoacyl-tRNA synthetases). tRNAs cope with the degeneracy of the genetic code in two manners: having more than one tRNA (with a specific anti-codon) for a particular amino acid; and 'wobble' base-pairing, i.e. permitting non-standard base-pairing at the 3rd anti-codon position.
Source: Rfam by way of RNAcentral